Molecule: ribosomal RNA, 496 nt
Filed under: uncultured bacterium
Lineage: Bacteria
Description: partial 16S ribosomal RNA
Rfam family: Bacterial small subunit ribosomal RNA
Source: RNAcentral
AUGAACGCUGGCGGCGUGCCUAAUACAUGCAAGUCGAGCGAACGGACGAGGAGCUUGCUCCUCUGACGUUAGCGGCGGACGGGUGAGUAACACGUGGAUAACCUACCUAUAAGACUGGGAUAACUUCGGGAAACCGGAGCUAAUACCGGAUAAUAUAUUGAACCGCAUGGUUCAAUAGUGAAAGACGGUUUUGCUGUCACUUAUAGAUGGAUCCGCGCCGCAUUAGCUAGUUGGUAAGGUAACGGCUUACCAAGGCGACGAUGCGUAGCCGACCUGAGAGGGUGAUCGGCCACACUGGAACUGAGACACGGUCCAGACUCCUACGGGAGGCAGCAGUAGGGAGUCUUCCGCAAUGGGCGAAAGCCUGACGGAGCAACGCCGCGUGAGUGAUGAAGGUCUUCGGAUCGUAAAACUCUGUUAUUAGGGAAGAACAAAUGUGUAAGUAACUAUGCACGUCUUGACGGUACCUAAUCAGAAAGCCACGGCUAACUACGUG